RNAcentral lists this ribosomal RNA (693 nucleotides) under Pleosporales sp. ES146. RNAcentral's name for it is "LSU rRNA". It matches the Rfam family "Eukaryotic large subunit ribosomal RNA", at positions 91 to 842 of the family's 3401-position model. Lineage: Eukaryota; Fungi; Ascomycota; Dothideomycetes; Pleosporales. The record is from RNAcentral.
GAGUGAAGCGGCAACAGCUCAAAUUUGAAAUCUGGCUCCGAGUUGUAAUUUGUAGAGGGCGCUUUGGUGUUGGCCGGUCUAAGUUCCUUGGAACAGGACGUCACAGAGGGUGAGAAUCCCGUACGGUCGACAGUCCACCGUGUAAGCCCCUUCGACGAGUCGAGUUGUUUGGGAAUGCAGCUCUAAAUGGGAGGUAAAUUUCUUCUAAAGCUAAAUAUUGGCCAGAGACCGAUAGCGCACAAGUAGAGUGAUCGAAAGAUGAAAAGCACUUUGGAAAGAGAGUCAAAAAGCACGUGAAAUUGUUGAAAGGGAAGCGCUUGCAAUCAGACUUACCUGUAGGCUCACCUAGGCUCUUGCCUAGUGCACUCUUGCAAUAGGCCAGCAUCAGUUCAGGCGGUUGGAUAAGACCUCUAUCACGUAUCUUCGAUGACCUUAUAGGGGAGGUGAUGCACCAGCCUGGAUUGAGGUCCGCGCAUCUGCUAGGAUGCUGGCGUAAUGAUUGUAAGCGGCCCGUCUUGAAACACGGACCAAGGAGUCUAACAUCUAUGCGAGUGUUUGGGUGUCAAGCCCGGGCGCGCAAUGAAAGUGAACGGAGGUGGGAACGGUGCACCAUCGACCGAUCCUGAUGUCUUCGGAUGGAUUUGAGUAGAGCAUAGCUGUUGGGACCCGAAAGAUGGUGAACUAUGCCUGAAU